Pistacia vera is the source of this 146-nucleotide long non-coding RNA. RefSeq lists it as uncharacterized. The transcript is spliced from 2 exons. The record is from RefSeq and is a predicted model, not a curated record. Lineage: Eukaryota; Viridiplantae; Streptophyta; Magnoliopsida; Sapindales; Anacardiaceae.
AUAAAACUAUGGCUGGGGUAGCUCCGGUCAAUGAUAAUCUGCUUUUCUGGUUCGUAAAUCACCAAUACAAUUAUCAGGAUUCAAAGAUGGUCGAAGAUCCAAAGAUGAUCAAACAAAUGGUUCUAGAGACCAUCAAGGGUUUCCCU